This 87-nucleotide transfer RNA is filed under the name Candidatus Promineofilum glycogenicum. RNAcentral describes it as "tRNA-Tyr". It matches the Rfam family "tRNA". Rfam says of the family: Transfer RNA (tRNA) molecules are approximately 80 nucleotides in length. Their secondary structure includes four short double-helical elements and three loops (D, anti-codon, and T loops). Further hydrogen bonds mediate the characteristic L-shaped molecular structure. tRNAs have two regions of fundamental functional importance: the anti-codon, which is responsible for specific mRNA codon recognition, and the 3' end, to which the tRNAs corresponding amino acid is attached (by aminoacyl-tRNA synthetases). tRNAs cope with the degeneracy of the genetic code in two manners: having more than one tRNA (with a specific anti-codon) for a particular amino acid; and 'wobble' base-pairing, i.e. permitting non-standard base-pairing at the 3rd anti-codon position. Lineage: Bacteria; Bacillati; Chloroflexota; Ardenticatenia; Promineifilales (SeqCode); Promineifilaceae (SeqCode). The record is from RNAcentral.
GGGUCAGUGUCCCGAGCGGCAAAGGGGGCGGACUGUAAAUCCGCUGGCGAUACGCCUUCGUAGGUUCGAGUCCUACCUGGCCCACCA